GUGCCAGCAGCCGCGGUAAUACGAAGGGGGCUAGCGUUGUUCGGAAUUACUGGGCGUAAAGGGCGCGUAGGCGGCCUGUUUAGUCAGAAGUGAAAGCCCUGGGCUCAACCUGGGAAUAGCUUUUGAUACUGGCAGGCUUGAGUUCCGGAGAGGAUGGUGGAAUUCCCAGUGUAGAGGUGAAAUUCGUAGAUAUUAGGAAGAACACCAGUGGCGAAGGCGGCUCACUGGCCCGGAACUGACGCUGAGGUACGAAAGCGUGGGGAGCAAACAGGAUUAGAUACCCUGGUAGUCCACGCCGUAAACGAUGGAUGCUAGCCGUCGGGGAGCUUGCACUUCGGUGUCGCCGCUAACGCAUUAAGCAUUCCGCCUGGGGAGUACGGCCGCAAGGUUAAA
Molecule: ribosomal RNA, 393 nt
Filed under: uncultured bacterium
Lineage: Bacteria
Description: bacterial SSU rRNA
Rfam family: Bacterial small subunit ribosomal RNA
Source: RNAcentral